RNAcentral lists this ribosomal RNA (333 nucleotides) under Triticum aestivum (bread wheat). RNAcentral describes it as "partial small subunit ribosomal RNA". The record is from RNAcentral. Lineage: Eukaryota; Viridiplantae; Streptophyta; Magnoliopsida; Poales; Poaceae.
AUGGUGGACACAGGAGCAGGGAGGAAGGAGGAGGCUCGUCGGAUUGAGGCCGGGGUCCACGGCAAGGUGCAGGCUACGGCGUGGGGCUCGACAGCUGCAGCCAUGGUCGACAGCCAUGGUCCAGGCUCGGGAGCAAGGGCAGCGACGACGCGUCUGGGCAUGGCGCAGGCGAGGAGAGAAAGAUGGAGAGGAGCCUUCAGUGUUCAUCUGAAUCAUCUCGGCAGCAAAGCUCACAUGGCGACGGAGGCGCACGUGGUGUUUGCAUGUUGCUCAUCCCAUGGCCUCCCUCCAGGCAUAUGCUCUCGUGGCCACAUGAGCCCCUGGGCGGCGUAA